UUUUUCUUGCACAGACCGCAAUUAUAGGCAUAAUUCGUUUUCUGCUGAAUGUAUAGCAAACUGGUGAUUGCGAUCUUUUUUCCCUGAAUUUCUGCAUGUAUAGAAUGUAGUUGCAGAUUAAAUAAUUACAUGGUUCUGCUCGAUUCAGGGUAAGAAAUGAAUAUGGUGUACUUCAAAGGAUUUCAUGUCUGCAGAUAAUGUAUUACAAGAGGUUGUGUGUGCCAGUGGACAAGCUGGUGAGAAGCUGAAUACUAAUAGCUUGAAUCCUGGUGAAUAGACUGCCUGCAUAAGCUUCGUCAUGAUUUUUCCACGUGUAAUAUGAAUGCAAGCCAGUUUGCCUUAAAGCAUCCCUUCUUGGAAAAUAUCUUCUAGUGUUUCAUCACAAAAAUCAGUCAAAAACUGUUUCUCAUGAUUUGAAAAAUACGUAUAAAGGAAGUCAAAUUUAAUUGAUAAAUUGUGCAUGCUGAGAUUGUAUACUAUAUCAUAUACAUUUUUUUAAUAUAUUUUCUGUAUCUCUAAUGUUGAGAAUUUUGAUGUUUUAAUUUAACCCUGAAUAAAAUGUUAAGUACUAUAAGCAAAGUAAGCAGUAUUGUAUUUGAUGUCAGAACAAUAUUUUUUUUAUUUUUUUAUUUUAUACUUGUAUAUUUUUGCUUAUGAUUGGAAUUUUAGUACAAAUUAUUUUGGCAUGAUGUGGCCUGUUCUCAUUUAAAAUGCAUUUUGUAUUUUUUUUUUUCUUCUGUUAUUUGCAUUAUAAUAGUUUGGCCAUAACAACUAUGGAUGCCAAAUCAACAUGUAUGGGAAUAACUGUAUUAAAUUUUGAGAAAACCUU
Long non-coding RNA from Stegodyphus dumicola, 829 nucleotides. The record is from RefSeq and is a predicted model, not a curated record. NCBI's taxonomy places the organism in Eukaryota, Metazoa, Arthropoda, Arachnida, Araneae, Eresidae.